Long non-coding RNA from Cloeon dipterum, 197 nucleotides. RefSeq lists it as uncharacterized. The record is from RefSeq and is a predicted model, not a curated record. NCBI's taxonomy places the organism in Eukaryota, Metazoa, Arthropoda, Insecta, Ephemeroptera, Baetidae. The transcript has 3 exons.
AGCACUCUUGCAGCUGGCAAAAAAAAAACUGCAGUGCGAACCAAAUCCACUGAAUUUGACCACCUUGGCAAACGGCAAGAAAUACUUUUUCUCCGCUUUUGAAGUGGAUUGGUUUAAAGCGAGAAGCUUCUGCGAAAGCAACAAAAUGCACCUGGCAGCGCCGAAGACCGUGGAAGACUCGUACUUUUCUUCGAGAA